Non-coding RNA from Phoenix dactylifera (date palm), 1355 nucleotides. Lineage: Eukaryota; Viridiplantae; Streptophyta; Magnoliopsida; Arecales; Arecaceae. The record is from RefSeq and is a predicted model, not a curated record.
UCAGCUUAACCCACAAUCUAAAAUUUCCCGAGAGAAGUUGGCGGCGGGGGGAGGAGAGAUCGAGCGAGAGCGCGAGAGAGAGAGCGGCGAUGGAGAAGAGGGCGAAGAAGCCGAUACAUCUCUUCUACUGCGCGGAGUCCGAAGAGCUCGCGAGGAAGGUCGCGGAGCAAUCCGAAUCCAUUCAGCUCCAAUCCAUUUCUUGGAGAAGCUUUGAUGAUGGAUUCCCGAAUCUCUUCAUCAACAAUGCACAUGAUAUUAGAGGGCAGCAUGUUGCUUUUUUAGCUUCUUUCAGUUCUCCUGGAGUAAUUUUUGAGCAGAUAUCUGCAAUAUUUGCGUUGCCAAAGCUCUUCAUUGCCUCCUUUACAUUGGUUUUACCAUUCUUCCCAACUGGUUCUUUCGAACGUGUGGAAGAAGAAGGAGAUGUGGCUACUGCAUUUACAAUGGCACGCAUAUUGUCAAUGAUCCCUAAAUCUAGGGGCGGUCCAACCAGUGUGGUCAUCUAUGACAUACAUGCUCUGCAGGAAAGAUUCUACUUUGGGGAUGAUGUCUUGCCUUGCUUUGAAAGUGGGAUACCUCUGUUGUUGCAACGUCUUCGCCAACUUCCUGAUGCUGAUAAUGUAACUAUAGCAUUCCCGGAUGAUGGUGCAUGGAAGCGUUUUCACAAGCAACUGCAAAAUUUUCCUAUGGUUGUUUGUGCAAAAGUUCGUGAAGGUGAUAAGAGGAUAGUUCGAAUUAAGGAAGGGAACCCUGAGGGUCGGCAUGUUGUAAUUGUUGAUGACUUGGUGCAGUCUGGAGGCACUCUUAUUGAAUGUCAGAAAUCCGAUCUGGAAUCACCAGUGAAGAAACUCACUGCCGGGAUUUCCUUUGCAGAAAGUUUUGGCUGCUCAUGGUGCUGCAAAAGUUAGUGCAUAUGUCACCCAUGGUGUGUUUCCCAAGCAAUCAUGGGAGCGAUUCCUGCAGAAUAGUUCUGAGGGGCUGGUGAACAGUUAUGCUUACUUCUGGAUAACAGAUUCCUGCCCGCUUACUGUCAAGGCCAUAGGCAAUAGAGCUCCAUUUGAGGUGCUCAGCCUUGCUGGAUCCAUUGCGGAUGCUCUUCAAAUCUAAUACUGCAAUAAACACUUGUAUUAGAAUAGAGAUGAACUUUGCAGAUAUUAUCCUAAUUUUUGUAAAAACUCAGAAAGACUCGUGUUAGGGAUGGAGAUAAGCUGAUGAACUUGUAUUCUUUUUGCAGGGAAAGGGUGAAGAAUGCCACUGAAAAUAUUCUAAUGUUUCUAAGCACCAUGAACUUGUAUUGGCUAGAUGAGUAACUAAAUUGUUCUCUAAUGAAAUAGUUGUGCCCGAAUUGUUCAAUCUCA